Molecule: long non-coding RNA, 1123 nt
Organism: Mus musculus (house mouse)
Lineage: Eukaryota; Metazoa; Chordata; Mammalia; Rodentia; Muridae
Product: predicted gene, 32319
Exons: 4
Source: RefSeq, a predicted model, not a curated record
CCAGUCCUUAAAACAAAAGACUUUGACUCCUCCCUGGUGGUUUUGCCUCUCGGGUUAAAGUCCCGAUGGAGUUAAACAUACAGAAUUUAAAGCCGAUAAUAACCCGGAUGUAUCUUUCCCACUAUGUGACCUGAGGCAAAGUAUCUGCCCACUAGAAUGAGCCUCUUCUAGGAAUAUUGCAAUACGACAAAGGUCACAUCACAAAGGCCAAGCGCUGACCACGUUCCUGACAUUGGUGGAUCUUGUAUCUAAAGUGGCAAGUCCGAAGGAAGACUGCAGAAGGCCAGAGUCCGGACAAGGAGGCCAGCCGGGCAAAGAGGCCGAAUCAGAAGCCAACGAGACUCCCAAGACUUCCAGGCUGGAGUGGAAAGGAAGUGUUUUGCUGCUAGAGGCAAGGCAGGAAACAGAACAGACCUGUGUUAGGUGUGAGCCAGUGGAGGCCCUGGAGGAGCCUGGUGAGGCGAGAGUAGGCUGCAGGCCUAUGGUGGAUCUCUGUGGAACCCGUGCUUCCUUCCUCUCUGCCCUACAGAGCAUGUCUGUCUCCCAGGACUGCGGUGCUGGAGGGGAUCGAGAGGGCCAGAAGGCCCUUUAUCCCGUUGAUAACCCGACUUUGGUCUUCAGUGUUCCUGGGAGGCUACUUGGAGGGUCAGAAGAGCGUGGAGCCUGUUAGUGCCGGAGCCUGGUCUACAGCAGGAGUCUUGCUGAGAUGGCCUGGAAGUCUCCUUUGGUGUGUUCGUGUGCAAAAUUUCCAGCAGCAAGUACAGCCUCCUCCUGUCUUCUCGGUAAAAAUAUCUCUGCGAUGAAAUGGAACACAAUGCAAGUUCAGUAGCAGACUGCGGACAAGUGACAUAAAACUGGGAUACGAUGCUGGACAAGCGUUUGGCAAGUUCCGGGAGUUUGUUAUAGUAGGGUUUUGGUAACCACAGACGUCAUUGUCCUGUGUUUAUGGUUGUCUCCUUAGCAUUACAACAUAGAUAUUCACCAGGGGUGAGCUAUUCCCAGCCAGUUUUUCUAUUUCUGUUCAGCUUUUUACAAUUGCUUUUUAUUAGUUAUUCUUUCAGGAUGUCUUGGAGAGCAGCCCCAUAAAAAUUAUUAGUGCCAGCCAUUCGGGAGCUCUUCACAG